This 73-nucleotide transfer RNA is filed under the name Apiotrichum gamsii. Its description in RNAcentral is "tRNA-Met". It matches the Rfam family "tRNA". Rfam says of the family: Transfer RNA (tRNA) molecules are approximately 80 nucleotides in length. Their secondary structure includes four short double-helical elements and three loops (D, anti-codon, and T loops). Lineage: Eukaryota; Fungi; Basidiomycota; Tremellomycetes; Trichosporonales; Trichosporonaceae. The record is from RNAcentral.
GCUGAUGUAGUUUAAUUGGUUAAAACAUACCUCUCAUAAUGGUAAAUCAAAGGUUCGAAUCCUUUUUUCAGCU